Molecule: transfer-messenger RNA, 371 nt
Filed under: Flavobacteriales
Lineage: Bacteria; Pseudomonadati; Bacteroidota; Flavobacteriia
Also listed under: 1 other name
Description: UBA8444 sp002714805 Standard tmRNA
Rfam family: transfer-messenger RNA
About the family: Bacterial tmRNA, also known as 10Sa RNA or SsrA, is named for its dual tRNA and mRNA-like properties. Its role is to liberate the mRNA from a stalled ribosome.
Source: RNAcentral
GGGGCUGACUGGUUUUGACUACAAGAUGAAGUUAACCGUAAGCAUGUCGAGCGUUGUUUGUUAGCUCGUAAAUAUCAAUUCACACACUUUUAAAUGGCGAGUAUAACUACGCUAUGGCUGCCUAAGUAUAGUAUUUAGGCCGUCUUUGCUUCCGAAUAAAAGAAAGCUCAGUGCUUUUAUUCAUAUGAAGUAUCAUAGAAAGAUUGAGCUAGUUUUUUAGUGCUUCGACCAAAAAACGAAAUUUAAGAAGAUAAGGUUGGAGUUCGGUUGUGUUUUUCCUUUUCUUUCCCGACAAUCAAAAAACAAUAAACAUGUAGAAAGCGUUUGGGUUCCUUGUUUGGACGUGGGUUCGAUUCCCACCAGCUCCACUU